AUACGUAGGGGGCGAGCGUUGUCCGAAGUUACUGGGCGUAAAGCGCGCGUAGGCGGCUCUUUAAGUGAUUGGUGAAAUCCCCGGGCUCAACCCGGGGUGGUCUGGUCAUACUGGGGAGCUAGAGUAUGGGAGGGGAGAGCGGAACUCCUGGUGUAGCGGUGAUAUGCGUAGAGAUCAGGAAGAACACCCGUGGCGAAGGCGGCUCUCUGGACCAUAACUGACGCUGAGGUGCGAAAGCCAGGGCAGCGAACGUGAUUAGAUACCCCGGUAGUCCUGGCCCUAAACGAUGGAUACUAGGUGUGGCGGGUAUCGACCCCUGCCGCGCCGCAGCUAACGCAAUAAGUAUCCCGCCUGGGGAGUACGGCCGCAAGGUUGAA
RNAcentral lists this ribosomal RNA (377 nucleotides) under uncultured bacterium. Its description in RNAcentral is "bacterial SSU rRNA". It matches the Rfam family "Bacterial small subunit ribosomal RNA", at positions 523 to 898 of the family's 1533-position model. The record is from RNAcentral.